GAGUUUGAUCCUGGCUCAGAGCGAACGUUAGCGCGGGCCUAACACAUGCAAGUCGCGCGAGAAAGGGGGCAACCCCGAGUAAAGCGGCGCACGGGUGAGUAACACGUGGGUAAUCUACCUUCGGUGGGGGAUAACCUCCGGAAACGGGGGCUAAUACCGCAUGAGACCACGACUGCUUCGGCGGACGUGAGAAAAGUCGGCCUCUCCAUGGAAGCCGGCGCCCGAAGAUGAGCCCGCGCCCCAUCAGCUAGUUGGUAGGGUAACGGCCUACCAAGGCGAAGACGGGUAGCUGGUCUGAGAGGAUGGUCAGCCACACUGGCACUGGAACACGGGCCAGACUCCUACGGGAGGCAGCAGUGAGGAAUAUUGGGCAAUGGGCGCAAGCCUGACCCAGCCACGCCGCGUGAGUGAUGAAGGCCUUCGGGUUGUAAAGCUCUGUGGGGAGGGACGAAAAAGGUCCGGAGUAACAUGCCGGGCACUUGACGGUACCUCCUUAGCAAGCACCGGCUAACUCUGUGCCAGCAGCCGCGGUAA
This 534-nucleotide ribosomal RNA is filed under the name uncultured delta proteobacterium. RNAcentral's name for it is "bacterial SSU rRNA". It matches the Rfam family "Bacterial small subunit ribosomal RNA", at positions 9 to 523 of the family's 1533-position model. Lineage: Bacteria; Deltaproteobacteria. The record is from RNAcentral.